GGGCCCGUAGCUCAGCCAGGUAGAGCGACAGGCUCAUAACCUGUUGGUCAUGCGUCCGAAUCGCAUCGGGCCCACCA
Molecule: transfer RNA, 77 nt
Filed under: Candidatus Bathyarchaeota archaeon
Lineage: Archaea; Thermoproteati; Candidatus Bathyarchaeota
Description: tRNA-Met
Rfam family: tRNA
About the family: Transfer RNA (tRNA) molecules are approximately 80 nucleotides in length.
Source: RNAcentral